This 394-nucleotide ribosomal RNA is filed under the name Hippodamia potanini. Its description in RNAcentral is "partial 16S ribosomal RNA". The record is from RNAcentral. Lineage: Eukaryota; Metazoa; Arthropoda; Insecta; Coleoptera; Coccinellidae.
UCAUUAGUUUUUUAAUUGAAAGCUUGUAUGAAUGGUUUGAUGAGAAAGUGACUUUCUUUACUUAAUUUUUUAAGAAUUUUAUUUUUAAGUUAAAAAGCUUAAAUAUUUUUAAUAGACGAGAAGACCCUAUAGAGUUUAAUUUUUUUUAGAAAAUUAAAUUUUUAGAAUUUUAAAAUUUUAUUUUUAUAAAAAAUUUGAUUGGGGUGAUUUUGAAAUUAAAAGAACUUUUAUUAAUUUUUUACAUUAAUUUAUGAUUGUAUGAUCCGUUUAAAAUGAUUAAAAGAAUAAAUUACCUUAGGGAUAACAGCGUUAUUUUUUUUUAGAGUUCAAAUCGAAAAAAAAGAUUGCGACCUCGAUGUUGGAUUAAAGUUAAUUUUUGGUGUAGAAGCUAAAA